RNAcentral lists this ribosomal RNA (484 nucleotides) under uncultured bacterium. RNAcentral describes it as "partial 16S ribosomal RNA". It matches the Rfam family "Bacterial small subunit ribosomal RNA", at positions 30 to 507 of the family's 1533-position model. The record is from RNAcentral.
AUUGAACGCUGGCGGAAUGCUUUACACAUGCAAGUCGAGCGGCAGCACGGGGGCAAUCCUGGUGGCGAGCGGCGAACGGGUGAGUAAUACAUCGGAACAUGCCCAGUCGUGGGGGAUAACACUUCGAAAGAAGUGCUAAUACCGCAUACGUCCUGAGGGGGAAAGCGGGGGAUCGCAAGACCUCGCGCGAUUGGAGUGGCCGAUGUCAGAUUAGCUAGUUGGUGGGGUAAAGGCCUACCAAGGCAACGAUCUGUAGCUGGUCUGAGAGGAUGAUCAGCCACACUGGGACUGAGACACGGCCCAGACUCCUACGGGAGGCAGCAGUGGGGAAUUUUGGACAAUGGGGGCAACCCUGAUCCAGCCAUUCCGCGUGAGUGAAGAAGGCCUUCGGGUUGUAAAGCUCUUUCGGCAGGAACGAAACGGUGAGCUCUAACAUAGCUUGCUAAUGACGGUACCUGAAGAAGAAGCACCGGCUAACUACGUG